AUUUGGUGCCAUUGUGAGGCUCGAGCAGUCGAGCUCGGCUCAUUCACAAGCCGCCCUCCCGCUCAGGGCCUCAGCCCUCAGGUUCAUAUCCUCCCCUCUGUUUCUCUUCUCAAAAAAAAAAACUUUCCUUUCUCUCGUAGAGAAACUUUCUCCUGAUCUCCUCCCUUGCUCGAGAUCUUCCUUCCCUGGCGUCGACGACUGGGCGAGCGGCGGCCCAGCCCUUUGCCGGCGACGAGCGCGUCCUCCAGGCUUGAACUCGACUGCUAGUCGCAACGAUGGACGACGGGGACCUCGAUUUCUCAAACCCAGACACGUUCUUGUGCCCUGCCAUCGGCAACGAUCCGCCCAGCAGCUGCUCUAUGGACAGCUACUUCGAUGACAUCUUGAAGGAUACAGAGCACCAUGCUUGCACCCACACCCAUACCUGCAACCCGCCAGUCCACGACAAUUCACACACCCACACCUGUGUCCAUGUCCACACCAAGAUUGUCGCGGCUUCACCAGACGCCGCUGAGACUGAAGAAUCGCCAUCUGAGAACAACUCCAAGAAGCGCCCGUCCGGUAACCGAGCAGCGGUGAGGAAGUACCGGGAGAAGAAGAAGGCUCACACAGCAUUGUUGGAGGAAGAGGUGGUCCACUUGAGGGCUUUGAACCAGCAACUCAUGAAGAAACUCCAGAAUCACGCCGCGCUUGAGGCAGAGGUAGCCAGGCUUCGCUGCCUGCUUGUUGAUAUCAGAGGGAGGAUUGAGGGGGAGAUUGGUGCUUUCCCUUAUCAGAGGCCAGUCAAGAACAUUGGUUUGCUGUCUAGUGUUGACCAGGGAAGCUUCCUUGGUGGUGCCCAGGUUACCAACUCCUGUGAUUUCAGAUGCAAUGAUCAGAUGUAUUGCAAUCCUGGAAUGCAGGAGGCUAUGAGUGCUCAGGUCUUGGGGCAAGGUGCUUGCGAUAUCGCUAAUAUCCAGUGCAUUGGAAGUGCAAAGUCUGGAUCCACAAAGCUACCUGUCUGUGGGGGUGUGGACACAGUACCUACUGGCUGCUUGCCAAAUGUUGAAAAGAAGUGAAGGGCUGUAGUGAAGCGUAGGCAUAUUUGUCAUUGCAUGUGGGCAUGUGGCUACUGCUGUUCUCUCAACAUGGAACUUAUUCAAGUACAAAUAGGAGAUGGACUGCUGGUGGCAUGGUCUCUCCUUUCAGAGACUACUGGGUCUCGGCGUUCUGCAUCCAAGAAAUGCUGUAUAAACACUCUGGUGGUGGUGUUUAUGGUCUCUCCGUUUUCACUGACUACUGGUUCUCAGCAUUCUGCAUCCAAGAAAAUGCUGUAUAAACUGCUAGCUUCUAUAUUUAGGGCCACAUCUUGUUCAAACUGUUAUGUGUCUGAGUUGGUUGCCGAUGAUGCUUCUAUGGUGCCUGAGGCGAUUCAAGUUUGUUAGCUCUGAAGCUGACAGGACAUCUUCGUUCUUUUACUUAGUUGCCAGAUGCUCUCUGAUGAAGUUCAGAACUGAAGCAGAUCUGAAGGAGUUGAACUGGCUAAAUUGUGCCAUCUGUGCUUGAUCUCAAGUUUGAUGUGAAUCUAUCCGAAAUCAUUUGUCUAUUGUAGGUGAUAUGUCUCUUUGUUGCUGUGCCCGUGAUUCCAAGUACAUGGAUUCGAUUAUUAUUUGAAUAUUUCACCAUUCAAUUCAUUAGUAAAUAAUGUAUUGCAUUGAUUGAAACU
This is an RNA transcript of Panicum virgatum (switchgrass), 1705 nucleotides long. It is a transcript of the gene named basic leucine zipper 23-like, with no coding region annotated. The record is from RefSeq and is a predicted model, not a curated record. NCBI's taxonomy places the organism in Eukaryota, Viridiplantae, Streptophyta, Magnoliopsida, Poales, Poaceae. The transcript has 4 exons.